GAGGUAGUCGGCCACGACCGUUAACCACACUAGUACCUAGUCCAGGUUUAUCGCCUAUCUGAGGGUAACCCGCACGGAAGUCCGGCCGAGGUUUCCGCCAUGGCCCCAAACGAUGUGCGCAGGGUUCCCAAGCCCACCAUACGGGUGCCACUUGGUACACCGUGCCACUGCCUACCGCAUCACAGCCCACCUCUCAGGUCAGCGCUAUGCACGGCCUCCAGCAUGACUAUAAACACCAG
Molecule: long non-coding RNA, 239 nt
Filed under: Hordeum vulgare
Lineage: Eukaryota; Viridiplantae; Streptophyta; Magnoliopsida; Poales; Poaceae
Description: long non-coding RNA (HVUL_LNC015687)
Source: RNAcentral